UAAGAGGAUCAGGCUUUUAAAUACUCAUUUACAAGUUUUCUAUCCUCCUUCAGUGUUAAAGUAGAAAGUAAAAAGAGUAUCUUAUACAUGCAUGAAAUUAAAGCAUAUACCAAAUGCAUUUUUGAUGAAGUAAUUAUUAUUUUAUUAGUACUUGAGCAGCCUGUUAAAACUAGUGAUGUACUAUACCUUUCAUAGGCACAUUAUGUCUCACAGCGAAGUGUUUUGGG
This 227-nucleotide long non-coding RNA is filed under the name Homo sapiens (human). RNAcentral describes it as "non-protein coding lnc-MCOLN3-1:1". Lineage: Eukaryota; Metazoa; Chordata; Mammalia; Primates; Hominidae. The record is from RNAcentral.